ACACAAGCUAUCUACUCCUUAAAAAAUAACUACUCCAAAGCGCAUCAGCCAAAGAAGGCUUCAUUAAGCCUGGUGCACAGAAUGUAGUUGUCUCUGCUACAUCAGGCAAAGAACAUAUGAAGAUGGAGUUUUGAACUCAGUUGGACAAAGCAACCUUGCUGGGUGACAUGAUUAUACAUUUGAAAGAGCUGAAAACAAAUGCAGCACAAGCUAGUGAAGGCCUAAUGAUACCAAAGAACAAUGAUAAAAUAAGAGUCGAAGAAGGAGGAUUUCUACAUUCAGUUCUUUAUCUAUAAGAGAUUUCUUAUAAGAACUUUUCUUUUUAAAUGUGUAAUUUAAAUCUCCAUAUGCAUAGCAUAUAUCUAAAUAUGAUGAGGGAGUGAGUGAGAUUAGCAAAUAGCAAUUUCACUUGUUAGAGAAGCUGUACAUUCUGAAAAUCAUGUGAAUCUGGUUGUACAUGUAUCAGAAGCAUAAUAGCAACUUUACUCA
Long non-coding RNA from Glycine soja, 489 nucleotides. RefSeq lists it as uncharacterized. The record is from RefSeq and is a predicted model, not a curated record. The transcript is spliced from 2 exons. NCBI's taxonomy places the organism in Eukaryota, Viridiplantae, Streptophyta, Magnoliopsida, Fabales, Fabaceae.